UGAGGAAUAUUGGUCAAUGGACGCAAGUCUGAACCAGCCACGUCGCGUGAAGGAAGACGGCCCUACGGGUUGUAAACUUCUUUUGUAAGGGAAUAAAGUGCAGUACGCGUACUGUUUUGCAAGUACCAUACGAAUAAGGAUCGGCUAACUCCGUGCCAGCAGCCGCGGUAAUACGGAGGAUCCGAGCGUUAUCCGGAUUUAUUGGGUUUAAAGGGUGCUCAGGCGGGAGAUUAAGUCGGCGGUGAAAUUUUGCAGCUCAACUGUAAAAGUGCCUUCGAAACUGGUAUCCUUGAGUGUGGAUGAGGUAGGCGGAAUUUGUGGUGUAGCGGUGAAAUGCAUAGAUAUCACGAGGAACUCCGAUUGCGCAGGCAGCUUACUAAGCCAUAACUGACGCUCAAGCACGAAGGCGUGGGGAUCAAACAGG
RNAcentral lists this ribosomal RNA (424 nucleotides) under uncultured prokaryote. Its description in RNAcentral is "bacterial SSU rRNA". It matches the Rfam family "Bacterial small subunit ribosomal RNA", at positions 355 to 776 of the family's 1533-position model. The record is from RNAcentral. RNAcentral also lists the same sequence under 1 other name.